GGAGAGCAGGAUAGCUACUCCGACUCUUUUUCUGAAAGCCUAAGCCCCCGCAGAGCUGGAGGAGAUGCGUCUUAUCAUCCGACUGGCUAAGUCAUUUGAUGGUUUGGGAUCUGGCGGAAAAGAUGUGUUUGAACAAACCCCAAUGGGGAGGGCAGCCGAUGAAACACUCGCACAAAACUAUAAAGGCAGAAAGAUGGGCGAUGGCAUUCGGAGGAAAAUGGUGAAGUUGGG
Molecule: long non-coding RNA, 231 nt
Filed under: Hordeum vulgare
Lineage: Eukaryota; Viridiplantae; Streptophyta; Magnoliopsida; Poales; Poaceae
Description: long non-coding RNA (HVUL_LNC013032)
Source: RNAcentral